GACGGAGGGCGCGAGCGUUGUUCGGAAUUACUGGGCGUAAAGCGCGGGCAGGCGGUUCGUUAAGUCUGCUGUUAAAUCCCGGGGCUCAACUCCGGAGAUGCAGCGGAUACUGGCGGACUAGAGACCGGUAGAGGCGAGUGGAAUUCCAGGUGUAGCGGUGAAAUGCGUAGAUAUCUGGAGGAACACCGGUGGCGAAGGCUACUCUCUGGUCUGUAACUGACGCUGAGGAGCGAAAGCGUGGGGAGCGAACAGG
This 253-nucleotide unclassified non-coding RNA is filed under the name uncultured Gemmatimonadota bacterium. RNAcentral's name for it is "uncultured Gemmatimonadetes bacterium contains 16S-23S intergenic spacer region". It matches the Rfam family "Bacterial small subunit ribosomal RNA", at positions 524 to 776 of the family's 1533-position model. The record is from RNAcentral. Lineage: Bacteria; Pseudomonadati; Gemmatimonadota.